AACGAACGCUGGCGGCAGGCUUAACACAUGCAAGUCGAACGAGAUCUUCGGAUCUAGUGGCAGACGGGUGAGGAACACGUGGGAACAUCCCUUUCAGUUCGGAAUAACGUUGGGAAACUAACGCUAAUACCGGAUACGUCCUUCGGGAGAAAGAUUUAUCGCUGAAAGAUUGGCCCGCGUCUGGUUAGCUAGUUGGUGAGGUAACGGCUCACCAAGGCUACGAUCAGUAGCUGAUCUGAGAGGAUGAUCAGCCACAUUGGGACUGAGACACGGCCCAAACUCCUACGGGAGGCAGCAGUGGGGAAUAUUGGACAAUGGGCGCAAACCUGAUCCAGCCAUGCCGCGUGAGUGAUGACGGCCUUCAGGUUGUAAAGCUCGUUUGUCCGGGGAGAUAAUGACUGUACCGGAAGAAUAAGCCCCGGCAAACUUCGUGCCAGCAGCCGCCGUAA
RNAcentral lists this ribosomal RNA (449 nucleotides) under uncultured bacterium. RNAcentral describes it as "partial 16S ribosomal RNA". It matches the Rfam family "Bacterial small subunit ribosomal RNA", at positions 29 to 523 of the family's 1533-position model. The record is from RNAcentral.